RNAcentral lists this ribosomal RNA (332 nucleotides) under Eleodes obscura sulcipennis. RNAcentral describes it as "partial 12S ribosomal RNA". The record is from RNAcentral. Lineage: Eukaryota; Metazoa; Arthropoda; Insecta; Coleoptera; Tenebrionidae.
UUUUAGCUAAAWUAUUAUAAGUUAUGGUCUUUAAAAUUAAAAAAUUUGGCGGUAUUUUAGUCUAUUCAGAGGAACCUGUUUUUUGAUCGAUAGUCCACGAUAAUUAAUACUUUAACUUUAAAUUUAUAUAUCGUCGUUAGUAAAAAUUUUAGGAAAAUUUUAAUUUUUAAGAUUUUUAAUUAUAAUCGAAUUCAGAUCAAGGUGUAGUUUAUGUUAAAGUUAAAAUGGGUUACAUUAUAUUUAUAUGUAGUUUUUUAAUUUAAAAUUAAAUUUAAAAUGGAUUUGAUAGUAAAUUCUUUAUUUUUGAGAGUUGAUUUAGCUCUAAAAUAUGC